GUCUACAGCCAUACCACACUGAACGCGCCCGAUCUCUUCUGAUCUCGGAGUCUAAGCAGGGUAGGUCCUAGUUAGUACUUGAAUGGAAGUCAUACCUACCUCCAAGGGUUGUUCUGAGGAUUCAGUGAGCU
This 131-nucleotide ribosomal RNA is filed under the name Carlito syrichta (Philippine tarsier). The record is from RNAcentral. Lineage: Eukaryota; Metazoa; Chordata; Mammalia; Primates; Tarsiidae.